UCGUAGGCCUGCUGAGGACAGAUGAAGUGAAUGUGCGUGUCCAAUCCUCCAGCCGUAAUGAUCUUGCCCUCGCCAGCAAUCACGUCGGUACAACUUCCUACAAUCAUGCCCUCUGUGACACCGUCCAUGACGUCUGGAUUGCCAGCUUUUCCAAUGCCCACGAUGAAGCCGUCUUUCACGCCAAUGUCGGCCUUGUAUAUGCCAGUAUAGUCGACGAUUAGAGCGUUUGUCACAACCAUAUCCAGCGUGAUCUUGUCCGAUCUACCCGUGGCUUGACCCAUACCUUCGCGA
This 291-nucleotide small RNA is filed under the name Pestalotiopsis fici W106-1. RNAcentral's name for it is "5' ureB small RNA". It matches the Rfam family "5' ureB small RNA". Lineage: Eukaryota; Fungi; Ascomycota; Sordariomycetes; Amphisphaeriales; Sporocadaceae. The record is from Rfam by way of RNAcentral.